GAUCGAGCGACUGGAUGAACUCAACCCUCUGCACCUAUUUAUUUACUUUGGGCACAGGCACGCAGCCCUGCUUCCCCCGCAGGAGAGCUUUCCAGACAGCUCCUGUUUACUUUUCGCAACGGAAGACCACGUCAAGGAAUCGUUAAAGCAAACGCAGCAGGUGAGCGGUUUGGAGUUAAAUCCCAACCUUUAGUCACCGGUGAAGAUGCUCUGGGCCUGGCGGACGUUACGGCUGGGCUGCCGGAUGCCAGCUCCAGCCUGGCUGUAUCCCACCGUUGUGAAAUCCUACGGAGCCAGCCGGGACGAGAGGCUCCUCGUCACGAUUUAAGGGCCUCGAACGCCACCGGCGAUUCCUCGCGUCCGUCUGCUGUCACGCUCCACCGACACUUAAUUGCCCUCCUCGAGCGCCCCAAAAUCGUCGCCGUGCUCGAUCGGAAAAACGCCGGCGCCCGGGAAGGGAAACGCCGGCGAUACUCACGCCGGGCUACUCGUCAGCCAGCGCCGACUCGGUUAGCUGCACGCUAGAGCUACAAGGACACCGCCGGCGGCGGCGGCGGCGGACUCAGCCCCCGAAAUC
Rhea pennata is the source of this 577-nucleotide long non-coding RNA. RefSeq lists it as uncharacterized. The record is from RefSeq and is a predicted model, not a curated record. Lineage: Eukaryota; Metazoa; Chordata; Aves; Rheiformes; Rheidae. The transcript is spliced from 3 exons.